RNAcentral lists this ribosomal RNA (576 nucleotides) under uncultured eukaryote. Its description in RNAcentral is "SSU rRNA". It matches the Rfam family "Eukaryotic small subunit ribosomal RNA", at positions 203 to 789 of the family's 1831-position model. The record is from RNAcentral.
UAUUUAUUAGAUAACAAGCCAAUAUUCCUCUGGUCUAUUGUGGUGACUCAUAAUAACUGAUCGAAUCGCAAGGUCUUUGACCGCGAUAAGUCAUUCAAGUUUCUGCCCCAUCAGCUUUCGAUGGUAGUGUAUUGGACUACCAUGGCGUUUACGGGUAACGGAGGAUUAGGGUUCGAUUCCGGAGAGGGAGCCUGAGAAACGGCUACCACAUCUAAGGAAGGCAGCAGGCGCGUAAAUUACCCAAUCCCGACUCGGGGAGGUAGUGACAAGAAAUAACGGACCGAGGCCUUCGGGCUCUCGGGAUUGCAAUGAGCCGAAUUUACACCCCUUAGCGAGAACCGAUUGGAGGGCAAGUCUGGUGCCAGCAGCCGCGGUAAUUCCAGCUCCAAUAGCGUAUAUUAAAGUUGUUGCAGUUAAAAAGCUCGUAGUUGGAUUUCUUGGAGGGUGCCAAUGUCCGCUACGGCGUGCGCAGCGGCGCCCUUCCAUCCUUCUGUUAACGCCUCUUGGCAUUCGUUUGCUGGUGGCGGGCUCAGAUAUUUUACCUUGAGAAAAUUAGAGUGUUUCAGGCAGGCUAGG